Molecule: ribosomal RNA, 253 nt
Filed under: uncultured bacterium
Lineage: Bacteria
Description: partial 16S ribosomal RNA
Rfam family: Bacterial small subunit ribosomal RNA
Source: RNAcentral
UACGUAGGGUGCAAGCGUUGUCCGGAAUUAUUGGGCGUAAAGAGCUCGUAGGCGGUUUGUCACGUCGGCUGUGAAAACCCGGGGCUCAACCCCGGGCCUGCAGUCGAUACGGGCAAACUAGAGUUCGGCAGGGGAGACUGGAAUUCCUGGUGUAGCGGUGAAAUGCGCAGAUAUCAGGAGGAACACCGGUGGCGAAGGCGGGUCUCUGGGCCGAUACUGACGCUGAGGAGCGAAAGCGUGGGGAGCGAACAGG